Molecule: ribosomal RNA, 1436 nt
Filed under: uncultured prokaryote
Description: partial 16S ribosomal RNA
Rfam family: Bacterial small subunit ribosomal RNA
Source: RNAcentral
GGCGGCGUGGCUAAGACAUGCAAGUCGAACGAAGUCUUCAAUUGGGUAACCGAGAGAGGACUUAGUGGCGAACGGGUGAGUAAUGCAUAGAUAACGUACCCCGGACACCGAGACAGCUGUGGGAAACCGCAGGUAAUACCGGAUGAUGUCUUUGGAUCGCAUGGUUCAAAGAUCAAAGGUUUCGGUCGGUCUGGGAGCGGUCUAUGUCGUAUCAGUUAGUUGGUGAGGUAAUGGCUCACCAAGACAUCGACGGGUAGCGGGACUGAGAGGUUGGCCCGCCACAUCGGGACUGAGACACUGCCCGGACACCUACGGGUGGCUGCAGUAACGAAUAUUCCGCAAUGGGCGAAGGCCUGACGCAGCGACGCCGCGUGUAGGACGAAGCUCCUCGGAGUGUAAACUACUGUUAGGGUGAAGAAAGGCCUGUUCGGCUGCUUGAUCGAUCCCGGAGGAAGCCACGGCUAACUUCGUGCCAGCAGCCGCGGUAAGACGGGAGAGGCAAGCGUUGUUCGGAAUCAUUGGGCUUAAAGCGCGCGUAGGCGGAAAGUUAAGUGCCUUGUGAAAUCCCUCAGCUCAACUGAGGAACUGCAGGGCAUACUGGCUUUCUUGAGGCAAGUAGGGGUGCAUGGAACUCUGGGUGGAGCGGUGAAAUGCGUAGAUAUCCAGAGGAACGCCAGCGGAGAAAUCGGUGUACUGGGCUUGUUCUGACGCUGAGGUGCGAAAGCGUGGGUAGCGAACGGGAUUAGAUACCCCGGUAGUCCACGCCGUAAACGAUGUUUACUAGAUCAUGGGAGUUUUGACGCUUUCGUGGUCGAAGCAAAAGUGCUAAGUAGACCGCCUGGGGAGUACGGUCGCAAGGCUAAAACUCAAAGGAAUUGACGGGGGAUCACACAAGCGGUGGAGCAUGUGGAUUAAUUCGAAACAACGCGAAGAACCUUACCUGGCCUUGGACAUGUACGGAUGCCUGCCUCGAAAACAGAGUCGGCUGCCUUAGGGUGGAACGUACACAGGUGCUGCAUGGCUGUCGUCAGCUCGUGUCGUGAGAUGUCGGGUUAAGUCCCUUAACGAGCGAAACCCUUAUCGUUAGUUGCCAGCGGGUAAUGCCGGGGACUCUAGCGAGACUGCCGUGGUUAACACGGAGGAAGGUGGGGAUGACGUCAAGUCCUCAUGGCCCUUAUGCCCAGGGCUACACACGUGCUACAAUGGUAGAUACAAACCGAUGCGAUGCCGUGAGGUGGAGCAAAUCGGAAAAAGCGCGCCCCAGUUCGGAUUGUAGGCUGCAACUCGCCUACAUGAAGUCGGAAUCGCUAGUAAUCGCGGAUCAGCAUGCCGCGGUGAGUAUGUUCCUGAGCCUUGUACACACCGCCCGUCAAGUCAUGGAAGCCGGGAGUACCUGAAGUCGGGUAGCUAACCUUCGGGAGGCGCCUGCCGAUGGU